Molecule: ribosomal RNA, 414 nt
Filed under: uncultured microorganism
Description: bacterial SSU rRNA
Rfam family: Archaeal small subunit ribosomal RNA
Source: RNAcentral
CAGCAGCCGCGGUAAUACCGGCGGCCCGAGUGGCGGUCACUAUUAUUGGGCUUAAAGCGUCCGUAGCCGGGUUGGGAAGGCCUCCGGGGAAUCUGGCCGCUUAACGGUCAGAAUGCCGGAGGAUACUCCCAGCCUAGGGAGCGGGGGAGGCCGAGGGGAUUCCCGGGGUAGGGGUGAAAUCCUAUAAUCCCGGGAGGACCACCUGUGGCGAAGGCGCUCGGCUGGAACGCGUCCGACGGUGAGGGACGAAGGCCAGGGGAGCAAACCGGAUUAGAUACCCGGGUAGUCCUGGCUGUAAACGAUGCGGACUUUGUGUCGGACAAGCUAUGAGCUUGUCCGGUGCCGGAGGGAAACCGUUAAGUCCGCCGCCUGGGGAGUACGGCCGCAAGGCUGAAACUUAAAGGAAUUGGCGGG